This 65-nucleotide microRNA precursor is filed under the name Gadus morhua (Atlantic cod). RNAcentral describes it as "Gmo-Novel-7_pre stem-loop". Lineage: Eukaryota; Metazoa; Chordata; Actinopteri; Gadiformes; Gadidae. The record is from RNAcentral.
AGAGACAGUACAGUUCAGUGAGUGUAAAGUCCAACACAACCCUCACUGAACUUUACCGUCUCUUU